Molecule: long non-coding RNA, 1050 nt
Organism: Marmota monax (woodchuck)
Lineage: Eukaryota; Metazoa; Chordata; Mammalia; Rodentia; Sciuridae
Exons: 3
Source: RefSeq, a predicted model, not a curated record
GCGCGCGCUCCCAGGCUGCCCCAACUGCUCCAGCUUCCGUUGGGGCUCCAGCGGGGCAAGGCGCAGGCGCGAGCGCUGACGGCGGGUUCCCAACGGCCGGCAGGGCUCCCAUGGCGGCGUCCAGACUCAGUCCCGUAGGCCCGAGAGAGAAGCUGAAGCUGAGCUUGACCAACGUUCCUCCUUUAGUGACGAAAGGGAUUGAACAAGCCUCCUCCAGAAGGCCUUGGCCAUGCUGAAUAUUUGUCCAGCCUGGCUAUCUAGCCUCUUCCACAGGAUCAGAAAACAGCUAUCUAAGAAGAAUGCAAUCUUCAUGGCCAAUGAUAGAAAAUGCUUCAGAAGACUGAAGGCUCCAAAGCAGCUCUCCUUCUAAAUGAGACAGAAGAGAAAGGGCCAACACUGUCCAGGAGGCAUCUAAGAAAAAUUGGGGGGACUGUGGUUAUGGGUCAGUGAUAAACUCCUCACCUAGCAUGUGUGACAUCCUGAGUUCAAUCCCAAGUACUGCCAAAAAAGAAAAAAUGAAAAGGAAAGAAAAGAAAAAUUGUCUUCCCUGUCUUUGGCAUCCAUGUCAACCCCAAUUAUGUCACUGCCACACAGAUUUUUCUUUGGUCACAGGUCUAUUCUAGAUGUCUCUUGAUGAUACCACCAUUUUGAAUGGCUUCAGCUGUUCCUUGUCUGAUUAGGAGCCUCUUCCCUAUCCAUACCUCAGAGAAGACCCAUGGUUAUCUGGAAGGAUACUGUGUGUGCUUGAGCCCACCUUUUCUUUUCUUAAAACGGGAAAUGUGCUUCCUUCCCCAUCUCGGUAUGUAAAAAGUGCCUGUACCACUUCCCCUGUGGUGCAGCAGAACUCCUAGUGAGGCCUAAAGUAGAUGGGUAUAUAUAACCUAUUCAAGCCUUUUACCUCAAGUAGAGCAGGUGGAUCUGGUUGCACUAAGAACUGGUAACUGGCAGUGAAAGCAGUCUGGUCAGGUCACCCUGAGGGCAGUUAUGAAAGGGAAUGACAGAGAGCAAUGGAGAGCUGCUAAGAGCUGCUAGGUCUGGCUGUUGAAAGAG